CCUCUGGUCGAUGGAACAA
This 19-nucleotide small nuclear RNA is filed under the name Arabidopsis thaliana (thale cress). Its description in RNAcentral is "snRNA_03760". Lineage: Eukaryota; Viridiplantae; Streptophyta; Magnoliopsida; Brassicales; Brassicaceae. The record is from RNAcentral.